GUGAACGCUGGCGGUAGGCCUAACACAUGCAAGUCGCACGGCAGCACAGUAAGAGCUUGCUCUUACGGGUGGCGAGUGGCGGACGGGUGAGGAAUACAUCGGAAUCUACUUUUUCGUGGGGGAUAACGUAGGGAAACUUACGCUAGUACCGCAUACGACCUACGGGUGAAAGCAGGGGAUCUUCGGACCUUGCGCGAUUGAAUGAGCCGAUGUCGGAUUAGCUAGUUGGCGGGGUAAAGGCCCACCAAGGCGACGAUCCGUAGCUGGUCUGAGAGGAUGAUCAGCCACACUGGAACUGAGACACGGUCCAGACUCCUACGGGAGGCAGCAGUGGGGAAUAUUGGACAAUGGGCGCAAGCCUGAUCCAGCCAUACCGCGUGGGUGAAGAAGGCCUUCGGGUUGUAAAGCCCUUUUGUUGGGAAAGAAAAGCAGCAGGUUAAUACCCCGCUGUUCUGACGGUACCCAAAGAAUAAGCACCGGCUAACUUCGUG
Molecule: ribosomal RNA, 491 nt
Filed under: uncultured bacterium
Lineage: Bacteria
Description: partial 16S ribosomal RNA
Rfam family: Bacterial small subunit ribosomal RNA
Source: RNAcentral